CAAAAAAUAGUUUAAACAAAACACUAGCAUUGGAAGCUAGAAACUAAGAAUAGGCUCUUAUUUUUUGA
This 68-nucleotide transfer RNA is filed under the name Cellana nigrlineata. RNAcentral describes it as "tRNA-Pro". It matches the Rfam family "tRNA". From Rfam's summary of the family: Transfer RNA (tRNA) molecules are approximately 80 nucleotides in length. Lineage: Eukaryota; Metazoa; Mollusca; Gastropoda; Nacellidae. The record is from RNAcentral.